CGAGUAGGCGGACCUGCAAGUCAGAUGUGAAAUCCCCGGGCUUAACCCGGGAACUGCAUUUGAAACUGUGGAUCUUGAGUAUCGGAGAGGUAAUCGGAAUUCCUUGUGUAGCGGUGAAAUGCGUAGAUAUAAGGAAGAACACCAGUGGCGAAGGCGGAUUACUGGACGACAACUGACGGUGAGGCGCGAAAGCGUGGGGAGCAAACA
RNAcentral lists this ribosomal RNA (207 nucleotides) under uncultured bacterium. RNAcentral's name for it is "partial 16S ribosomal RNA". It matches the Rfam family "Bacterial small subunit ribosomal RNA", at positions 568 to 774 of the family's 1533-position model. The record is from RNAcentral.